This is a microRNA precursor of Gorilla gorilla gorilla (western lowland gorilla), 52 nucleotides long. It matches the Rfam family "mir-1302 microRNA precursor family". NCBI's taxonomy places the organism in Eukaryota, Metazoa, Chordata, Mammalia, Primates, Hominidae. The record is from Rfam.
UUUUUAGUAUGAGUAUGUCCCGUGCAGUAUUUGGGACAUAAUUAUACUAAAA